GUCGCCCUCCUCCCAUUGAGCGAGGCUGUGUCGCGUGGCCCAGCGUCGGCGUGACGGUUGGACGCGGGCGCGGCACUGCGGGUCCCGAUUGCUGCAGCCGCUUGUCAGUGUGAUGAAGAUUGGCACCCAGACAUCAUUUGCUUUUCACUCAAGAUGAUUUGAUGUCUUAUAAAACUCUGAUGAACCAUGAUGGCUACACAGACAUUAAGUAUAGACAGCUAUCAAGAUGGGCAACAGAUGCAAGUAGUAACAGAGUUAAAGACAGAACAAGAUCCAAACUGCUCUGAACCUGAUGCAGAAGGAGUGAGCCCUCCCCCUGUGGAGUCUCAGACCCCGAUGGAUGUGGACAAGCAGGCCAUUUAUAGGUAGUGCCCGGGGUGCCGGCUGUGGGGGCCUCAGAGGAGUGAGGAGCGUCCACAAGUUUGUUAAAGGGAACACCAGAACUAGUAGCGAGGCAGA
This 459-nucleotide small RNA is filed under the name Pan troglodytes (chimpanzee). RNAcentral's name for it is "retained intron". Lineage: Eukaryota; Metazoa; Chordata; Mammalia; Primates; Hominidae. The record is from RNAcentral.